GCGCAGGCGGAUUAGAAAGUCUGGUGUUAAAAGCAAUUGCUUAACGAUUGUAUGCAUUGGAAACUUCUAGUCUAGAGUUUGGUAGAGAGUCCUGGAACUCCAUGUGGAGCGGUGAAAUGCGUAGAUAUAUGGAAGAACACCAGAGGCGAAGGCGAGGRCUUGGGCCAAUACUGACGCUUAGGCUUGAAAGUGUGGGGAGCAAAUAGGAUUAGAUACCCUAGUAGUCCACACUGUAAACGAUGGAUGUUAAGUGUCGGAGCGAAUACUUCGGUGCUGCAGUUAACACAUUAAACAUCCUGCCUGAGUAGUACAUUCGCAAGAAUGAAACUCAAACGGAAUUGACGGGGACCCGCACAAGUGGUGGAGCAUGUUGCUUAAUUCGACGGUACACGAAAAACCUUACCUAGACUUGACAUCUUGGGCGAAGCUAUAGAAAUAUAGUGGAGGUCAACCCAAUGACAGGUGGUGCAUGGUUGUCGUCAGCUCGUGUCGUGAGAUGUUGGGUUAAGUCCCGCAACGAGCGCAACCCUUAUCGUUAGUUACUUUGUCUAACGAGACUGCCAACGUAAGUUGGAGGAAGGUGGGGAUGACGUCAAAUCAUCAUGCCCCUUAUGUCUAGGGCUGCAAACGUGCUACAAUGGCCAAUACAAWCAGUUGCAAAUCCGUAAGGUGGAGCUAAUCUGUAAAGUUGGUCUCAGUUCGGAUUGAGGGCUGCAAUUCGCCCUCAUGAAGUCGGAAUCACUAGUAAUCGCGAAUCAGCCAUGUCGCGGUGAAUACGUUCUCGGGUCUUGUACACACCGCCCGUCAAACUAUGAGAGCUGGUAAUAUCUAAAACCGUGUUGCUAACCGCAAGGAAGCGCAUGUCUAGG
RNAcentral lists this ribosomal RNA (869 nucleotides) under Mycoplasmoides gallisepticum. Its description in RNAcentral is "bacterial SSU rRNA". It matches the Rfam family "Bacterial small subunit ribosomal RNA", at positions 569 to 1461 of the family's 1533-position model. The record is from RNAcentral. Lineage: Bacteria; Bacillati; Mycoplasmatota; Mycoplasmoidales; Mycoplasmoidaceae.